GUUGGUGCUAAUAGCGGUGAGGGUCCACCCGUUCCCAUUCCGAACACGGAAGUUAAGCUCACUUGCGCCGAUAAUACUUGGCUGGAGACGGCCUGGGAAUCUAGGAAGGUGCCAACA
This 117-nucleotide ribosomal RNA is filed under the name Oscillospiraceae bacterium. The record is from RNAcentral. Lineage: Bacteria; Bacillati; Bacillota; Clostridia; Eubacteriales; Oscillospiraceae.